GAUGAACGCUAGCGGGAGGCUUAAUACAUGCAAGUCGAGGGGUAACAUGGAAGCUUGCUUCUGAUGACGACCGGCGCACGGGUGAGUAACGCGUACAUAACCUACCUUAUACUGGGGGACACACACCGGAAACGGAGUAAAUACCCCAUAGUCUGGCGACAGUAAAGCUUUCGGGCGGUAUAAGAUGGAUGUGCGUACUAUUAGAUAGUUGGUGAGGUAACGGCUCACCAAGUCAACGAUAGUUAGGGGGCGUGAGAGCGUGACCCCCCACACGGGUACUGAGACACGGACCCGACUCCUACGGGAGGCAGCAGUAAGGAAUAUUGGACAAUGGGCGAAAGCCUGAUCCAGCCAUCCCGCGUGCAGGAUGACUGCCCUAUGGGUUGUAAACUGCUUUUAUAUACCAAGAAACGUCCUUAUUUAUGAGGGCCUGACGGUAGUAUAUGAAUAAGCACCGGCUAACUCCG
Molecule: ribosomal RNA, 467 nt
Filed under: uncultured Saprospiraceae bacterium
Lineage: Bacteria; Pseudomonadati; Bacteroidota; Saprospiria; Saprospirales; Saprospiraceae
Description: bacterial SSU rRNA
Rfam family: Bacterial small subunit ribosomal RNA
Source: RNAcentral